AGCCUUGUACACACCGCCCGUCAAGUCAUGGGAGCCGGUAGUGCCCGAAGCCGCCAAGUUUCAUUGGUGCCAACGGCAAGAUCGGUGACUGGGACUAAGUCGUAACAAGGUACCC
RNAcentral lists this ribosomal RNA (115 nucleotides) under uncultured bacterium. RNAcentral describes it as "partial 16S ribosomal RNA". It matches the Rfam family "Bacterial small subunit ribosomal RNA", at positions 1377 to 1501 of the family's 1533-position model. The record is from RNAcentral.